CGGGGGCGUGGGUGCCCUGCCCUCGAAACCCCCAUCGACCCAAUCCAAUCGCCCGCACGCCGCAACCCUUCCUCCCUCCUCGAUCUCUCUCCCUCAGCCGCCACGAACCCUAGCCCCCUUUCCUACCAUCCCGCGGUCGCUGCCCCUGCUCCAUCCGACCUCCAUCCUCUCCCAUGUCGCCGCCCCUCUUCUCCCCGCUCACCUCGGCCACCUCCUCUCCUCCGCCGUGUCAUCGGCCCCCUCCCUCCUCUCAGUCCCGUGCCAGCCACCUCCCAAACCCUAGCCCCCGUUUCCCUUGAUCCCCACAGUUACUGCAUCCACAGCCACCCGCUCAGCGAGGCCGAAGACCGGGCAGCGGACGCCUCACGGGGUGGAGGAGAAGCCGACGAUAGGGAAAAGCAGCAUUUUCAUGGAUGAGAUCCUGACGGCUGAAGAUGGUGCGCACGGGAGGAGCUUGGAAGAUGUCAAGUGGUGGCGUCGCCGGGGAUGAGGGGAGCCGCGGCUGUAGCAGGCGGUGAUGCUAGCGAAGCGGUGGUCCAUGGUGCCUUCGUCGUUGUCAUCCUCGACAGAAGGUGAGGCCAAGAUGGAUCUCAACAUUCUUUGUGAUAUUCGUCAUCCAUGGAAGAUGCAGAAGAAAAACUCAUGCAGAUCGAAUGAAGAAGAGAAGAGGAAGAAUCUUGAGGAAGAGGAAAAAACAAGGCAAUGGGACUAUUGACUGGGUACAAGAGCUUCUUCAGAAAACCCACGCUGCUUUUCUAAAUCGCAAUUUUGUUCAAGGCUAACAAUGAAAAUUUUAUCUGUAAAAUAUGGUGAUCCCUAUAGUGUUAUUUCUGAAGCUUCGCUGUGCUUGCUUUCCCCCAACAAGCAGUAAUCCAAGCACGGGUGCAUCAGGUACUAUAUCAUGUCUGUGUGGAUUUCCACAAUAACACCACCUCCAACUUUCUCAUUUCCCCAGCUCUGCAUACAAGUUCCAAACUAGGUAUACCAAUCUUGUUAUCACUUGUUCAGUCAUGUUCUAAUUUAUGCCUUUUCACCUGCAUGUAGUGAGGCAGUGUGUGGAAUUUAGGUGAUGGUUUGAACAAAUUACAAUGAUGUAGUCCUGUAGAUCAGUAUAGGUCACCGGCUUUACAUUGUGGUCAGCGUGUUGUAAGUACUUUGGGAAACAAGUUCUGGAGUAAGUUUAUCUGCUUGCUCACAUUUUAAUACUUGAUUGAUGUCCUGAUAAUUUGUGAAGUUCUGUGUACCAUGUGAUAAGCUGCACAUCAGGUUGCAUAGCAGCUUGUUUGUUGCUUUUAGGAUGUGCAUGUACCCAGGUGGAUCAAAUACAGAUACCAAUCAUAUAUUAUUAUUUUUACUCGUGUGUUUUUCUUGUGCCUGCCAACAUUUCAAAAAUUGAUUAUAUCAUUCAGAUGUAUUCAGGAUGGGUUUCUGUGAUCGAAAAAAAAUCAUCUGGCAUGGCUUUCUUUUUACAUACAAAACUAAGUGUGGAGCAGUGUAUAUGUUCAUUGCUUUCUUAUCACAUUGCAUUUGUCGGAGGUGCCGUACUGAUUUGAAGGAAAUGCUUUUAUAUUUCCAAGUUGAUCAACUACACAGGACACAGCUUCUGAUCCUAAAGCCUUUCUUUAAAAGGGGCUGGUCAAUGCAGCUCCAUAUUGUGCUAUCUUGCUAUUGGGCUCUUUUUUGUUACUUAAAAUGGUCAGAUAUCUCUGAUGUUAAAUUCGUGGUUGAUUGCUUAUAUCCAAAAUAACUAUGUUAGUACACUGAAGCCAAUUUCUACAUUGUUAGUGAAGUUGGAUAAAUAGUUUUUGUGCCACUAAGAUGUAUAUGUGCACUGCAUUCUAACCCUGUAAAUUUGUUGUGCUAUUAGUUUAAUCCGGAAUAUAAUUAUGUUAGUACACUCUGCAAUAUAAUUAUGUUAUAUUCUGCUUUUGUCAGUUUGCUGGUCCAUAUUAAUUUCCUCGAGCUUAUUUUCACAUCUCGUCAUAUUUACACCUCUCCGCCGACUGCCACCUAUCAUGGAGGGAGAUGGCUUGGCCAGGCCGUCAACACCCAUCGGCAACUUCCGGCAGGCGCCGUCCCGUUCUUCCUCCCCUUACUCUGAUGCAUUCAUGGCCAAAAUCAUUAGCAGGGGCAAGAAGGUUAAGCACCAAUUAUGGUUAAAAGCUUUGUCUCUUUUGUGUACUAUGCGUUUGCUGGUCAGCUUACGAAUUCAAAUAAUACGACUAUUGCAAUGCAUCUUACUACGUGUGUAUUUAUUUGCAUUGAUAUUUUCUCCUCCUUAGGCUCCAAAUCGUUUGUGGGUCAUUAAUUAUUGUGCAUUAUUGAUGAUUAAUUUGCAAUUUAAAUGACAACAGGGCUGGGUUUUAUAAGUGCAAUGGCUUGAAAUGUGACCUUCCAGUCAAGAAAUUUCCUCAGUCAUAAGCUUAUGUGAAGAAUGAUGUAAUUAAGUUAGCAAUUUACAGUUGUCUUUGAUCAUUGUAAUUGAAUUGUCAAUUUGAAGUUCUCUCGAAUAAUGAGUUACUCCCUCAAUUUUACAAUAGAGAUAAUUUGUCAAAA
Triticum aestivum (bread wheat) is the source of this 2556-nucleotide long non-coding RNA. RefSeq lists it as uncharacterized. The transcript has 6 exons. The record is from RefSeq and is a predicted model, not a curated record. Lineage: Eukaryota; Viridiplantae; Streptophyta; Magnoliopsida; Poales; Poaceae.